UACGAAGGGGGCUAGCGUUGUUCGGAAUCACUGGGCGUAAAGCGCACGUAGGCGGAUUGUUAAGUCGGGGGUGAAAUCCUGAGGCUCAACCUCAGAACUGCCUUCGAUACUGGCAAUCUCGAGUCCGGAAGAGGUUGGUGGAACAGCUAGUGUAGAGGUGAAAUUCGUAGAUAUCAAGCGGAACACCGGUGGCGAAGGCGGCCUUCUGGACAGUGACUGACGCUGAGACGCGAAAGCGUGGGGAGCAAACAGG
RNAcentral lists this ribosomal RNA (253 nucleotides) under uncultured bacterium. RNAcentral's name for it is "partial 16S ribosomal RNA". It matches the Rfam family "Bacterial small subunit ribosomal RNA", at positions 524 to 776 of the family's 1533-position model. The record is from RNAcentral.